This 592-nucleotide ribosomal RNA is filed under the name Talaromyces rugulosus. Its description in RNAcentral is "eukaryotic LSU rRNA". It matches the Rfam family "Eukaryotic large subunit ribosomal RNA", at positions 50 to 657 of the family's 3401-position model. The record is from RNAcentral. Lineage: Eukaryota; Fungi; Ascomycota; Eurotiomycetes; Eurotiales; Trichocomaceae.
GCGGAGGAAAAGAAACCAACAGGGAUUGCCUCAGUAACGGCGAGUGAAGCGGCAAGAGCUCAAAUUUGAAAUCUGGUUCCUUCGGGGCCCGAGUUGUAAUUUGGAGAGGAUGCUUCGGGCGUGGCCCCCAUCUAAGUGCCCUGGAACGGGCCGUCAUAGAGGGUGAGAAUCCCGUCUGGGAUGGGUGGUCCCGCCCGUGUGAAGCUCCUUCGAAGAGUCGAGUUGUUUGGGAAUGCAGCUCUAAGAGGGUGGUAAAUUUCAUCUAAAGCUAAAUAUUGGCCGGAGACCGAUAGCGCACAAGUAGAGUGAUCGAAAGAUGAAAAGCACUUUGAAAAGAGAGUUAAACAGCACGUGAAAUUGUUGAAAGGGAAGCGUUGGCAACCAGACUCGCCCGGGAGGGCUCAGCCGGCACGUGUGCCGGUGCACUCCCCCCCGGGCGGGCCAGCGUCGGUUUGGGCGGUCACUAAAAGGUCCCGGGAAUGUAGCACCCUCCGGGGUGCCUUAUAGCCCGGGGCGCCAUGCGACCUGCCCGGACCGAGGAACGCGCUCCGGCUCGGACGCUGGCGUAAUGGUUGUCAACGGCCCGUCUUGA